UACGGAGGGGGCUAGCGUUGUUCGGAAUUACUGGGCGUAAAGCGUACGUAGGCGGCUUUGUAAGUUAGAGGUGAAAGCCCGGGGCUCAACUCCGGAAUUGCCUUUAAGACUGCAUCGCUUGAAUCAUGGAGAGGUUAGUGGAAUUCCGAGUGUAGAGGUGAAAUUCGUAGAUAUUCGGAAGAACACCAGUGGCGAAGGCGACUAACUGGACAUGUAUUGACGCUGAGGUUCGAAAGCGUGGGGAGCAAACAGG
Molecule: ribosomal RNA, 253 nt
Filed under: uncultured bacterium
Lineage: Bacteria
Description: partial 16S ribosomal RNA
Rfam family: Bacterial small subunit ribosomal RNA
Source: RNAcentral